CUUUUGGGCUUGCAUACAGACUGCUGCCACGCCGGCUGGCUAGGUCGCUCUCUAUCAUUGGAGAGCUUCAUUCUUCAACAGAUGGGAACAAAUAGAGAGAUUCACAGCCGGACAUUAUGUAGAGAGAGACCUUGGAACAGUCAGUACUAAAGGGAUGUGUCUACCAAAUCCCUCCCCUCAGACUCUGGGACAAGGAGGCCAUAAAAGUAAGAGCCAGAGAAUAUGGAGGUCACAGAGAAAACAAGGUUCUCUAACUCAACAUGAUCAAAGUUCACAUGAAAUCACAGAGGCUGAGACAGCAUGCAAAGGACCUGCAAGGGGCUGCCACAGAUUCUUUGUGGGUAUAUAAUGGCUUCCAGCGUAUUGGCAUUUGUUUGUUUGUUUGUUUGAUCGGGGUGGGGAAUCCCUGAGAGUGAGAAUCAGUGUGUCUCUGAUUCUUGGGCCUUAUCUUGUGCUUAUUCCCUUCUGUUGGUUUGUCUUGUCCAACUUUGAUGUGAUAGAUUUUUUUUAAUCUUAUUAUAUUUUUUGUUCUAUUUAAUAGUAUCUGAGGACCUCACUGUCUAAUUAACAGCAGAGCUGACACAUGGAAUUGUAACACACAUACGUAAAUUGUAUGCUAGUUCAGUCAACUAAUAUUUUGUUAGGACUGUUGUAUGUAUCUGAAUUUAAAAAAGGAACAAUCCUUAGGAACUGAGAAAGUGUUUUGCUAUUUGAAAUUUGUGAAAAAUCUAUUUUACAGUAUUUUUCAAAUUCCUACCUCUUGGAUUCAUGUAAAUUAACUUCCACUUUCCAAUGUGUUUUGCAUUCCCCCCUAAUUUAAGUUCUGAUUUAAAAUAUUUCAAAAAUUCAUGUAAUUUGAUUGCAUGUAUGAAUUUACAUAAAUUGAAGUUGUCUAUACUUGCCUUGAUUGCAUUUUAACUGUAUGCCAAAGUCCAACAUUAAAAGACUACAUCUAUUUCAUGUAAAUAGUGUAAUAUCAAAGGUGUAACAAAAGUGAUAUUGUAAUAAAUCUAGUUAAAUUCUA
This is a non-coding RNA of Cricetulus griseus (Chinese hamster), 1024 nucleotides long. NCBI's taxonomy places the organism in Eukaryota, Metazoa, Chordata, Mammalia, Rodentia, Cricetidae. The record is from RefSeq and is a predicted model, not a curated record.